AGUGGCGGACGGGUGAGUAACGCGUGGGUAACCUGCCUCAUACAGGGGGAUAACAGUUGGUAACGGCUGCUAAUACCGCAUAAGCGCACAGUACCGCAUGGUACCGUGUGAAAAACUCCGGUGGUAUGAGAUGGACCCGCGUCUGAUUAGCUAGUUGGUGGGGUAACGGCCUACCAAGGCGACGAUCAGUAGCCGACCUGAGAGGGUGACCGGCCACAUUGGGACUGAGACACGGCCCAA
This 240-nucleotide ribosomal RNA is filed under the name uncultured bacterium. RNAcentral describes it as "partial 16S ribosomal RNA". It matches the Rfam family "Bacterial small subunit ribosomal RNA", at positions 94 to 334 of the family's 1533-position model. The record is from RNAcentral.